RNAcentral lists this ribosomal RNA (254 nucleotides) under uncultured bacterium. RNAcentral describes it as "partial 16S ribosomal RNA". It matches the Rfam family "Bacterial small subunit ribosomal RNA", at positions 524 to 776 of the family's 1533-position model. The record is from RNAcentral.
UACAGGGGGUGCAAACGUUGCUCGGAAUCAUUGGGCGUAAAGCGCACGUAGGCGGUUCGUUAUGUCGGAUGUGAAAGCCCUUGGCUUAACCGAGGAAGUGCAUCCGAAACUGGCGAGCUAGAGUACUAAAGAGGAUCGCGGAAUUCCCGGUGUAGAGGUGAAAUUCGUAGAUAUCGGGAGGAACACCGGUGGCGAAGGCGGGUCUCUGGGCAGUAACUGACGCUGAGGAGCGAAAAGCGUGGGGAGCGAACAGG